GACGAACGCUGGCGGCGUGCCUAACACAUGCAAGUCGAACGGAAAGGCCCGGCGUUUGUGCGGCUCACGAUUGCCGAGCGCGUGAGUAACACGCGAGUAUCCUGUCCUUGACUGUGUGAUAACUUCUGGAAACUGGGGCUCAAAUCCCAUAGGAGCUCCUGCUGCAUGGUGUUGGUUGGAAAGUUUCGGCGGUGGGGGAUGGACUCGCGGCUUAUCAGCUUGUUGGUGGGGUAGUGGCUUACGAAGGCUUUGACGGAUAGCCGGCCUGCGAGGCUGGCCGGCCACAUGGGGGCUGAGAUAAGGCCCAGAAGCGUACGGGAGGCAGCGGGGGGGAAUAUUGCACAAUGGGCGGACGCCUGAUGCAGCGGCGCCGGGAGCGGGAUGACGGCCUUCGGGGUGUAAACCGCUUUGGCCGGUGACGUAGCGUGAGUGACGGUAAUGUGUAAAGAAGCACCGGCUAACUACGUG
This 468-nucleotide ribosomal RNA is filed under the name uncultured bacterium. Its description in RNAcentral is "partial 16S ribosomal RNA". It matches the Rfam family "Bacterial small subunit ribosomal RNA", at positions 28 to 507 of the family's 1533-position model. The record is from RNAcentral.